GAAUUCAUGCUUCCCAAGCAUGGGGCCCGGGUUCGAUUCCCGGCUUCCGCA
This 51-nucleotide transfer RNA is filed under the name Saccharomyces cerevisiae (brewer's yeast). RNAcentral's name for it is "transfer RNA-Gly 3' end". It matches the Rfam family "tRNA", at positions 21 to 71 of the family's 71-position model. Rfam says of the family: Transfer RNA (tRNA) molecules are approximately 80 nucleotides in length. Their secondary structure includes four short double-helical elements and three loops (D, anti-codon, and T loops). Further hydrogen bonds mediate the characteristic L-shaped molecular structure. tRNAs have two regions of fundamental functional importance: the anti-codon, which is responsible for specific mRNA codon recognition, and the 3' end, to which the tRNAs corresponding amino acid is attached (by aminoacyl-tRNA synthetases). tRNAs cope with the degeneracy of the genetic code in two manners: having more than one tRNA (with a specific anti-codon) for a particular amino acid; and 'wobble' base-pairing, i.e. permitting non-standard base-pairing at the 3rd anti-codon position. The record is from RNAcentral. Lineage: Eukaryota; Fungi; Ascomycota; Saccharomycetes; Saccharomycetales; Saccharomycetaceae.